CAGAAACAUCGAUCAGUCGCCUCCUGCAUACCCCCUAUUGGGGAUGUGCCCGCAACUAAGCUUUUCCAGCCUUCUCUUCUGCCUUUGAAAGGGGUGCGUCCAUCUCAGAUGGAAGGAAGAGAGGCCUUGGGGGUACAAAGUUGAAGAACUGCCUUUUAGUUCUGGAGGCCAGAGGUCUGAAAUCCAGGGCCAUGCUCCCUCUGAAGGCUCUUGGAGAGAAUCCUUCCUCCCUCUUCCAGCUCCUGUUGGCUCCUGGGGCUCCAGUCGCUGCCUCUGUGUUCACGUGGUGUUUUCCUCUGUCUCUCCAUGUGUCUUCUCUUCUUACGACGACACCAGUUCCUGGAUUUAGAGUUUACCUGAGAUCCAGGAUGAUUUCACCUCAAGAUCCUCAACUCGUUUCAUCUGCAAAGACCCUGUUUGCAAGUAAGG
Molecule: long non-coding RNA, 429 nt
Organism: Myotis myotis
Lineage: Eukaryota; Metazoa; Chordata; Mammalia; Chiroptera; Vespertilionidae
Exons: 3
Source: RefSeq, a predicted model, not a curated record